RNAcentral lists this ribosomal RNA (405 nucleotides) under uncultured bacterium. RNAcentral describes it as "partial 16S ribosomal RNA". It matches the Rfam family "Bacterial small subunit ribosomal RNA", at positions 33 to 526 of the family's 1533-position model. The record is from RNAcentral.
GACGACGCUGGCGGCGUGCCUAAUACAUGCAAGUCGAACGAGUGGCGGACGGGUGAGUAACACGUGGGGACCUACCCGUCAGAGGGGGGUAACACUUGGAAACAGGUGCAAAUACCGCAAAUUGGUGGAUGGACUCGCGGUGGAUUAGCCUGUUGGUGGGGUAACGGCUUACCAGGUCCACGAUGCAUAGCCGGCCUGAGAGGAUGACCGGCCACACUGGGACUGAGACACGGUCCAGACUCCUACGGGAGGCAGCAGUGGGGAAUAUUGCACAAUGGGCGCAAGCCUGAUGCAGCCAUGCCGCGUGUAUGAAGAAGGCCUUAGGGUUGUAAAGUACUUUCAGCGGGGAGGCGUUACCCGCAGAAGAAGCACCGGCUAACUCCGUGCCAGCAGCCGCGGUAAUUC